AUGAGUCCUGCCAUCUUGCUCUCCUCUACCAGCACCAAGAGCUUCACCACUCGCCCAACCACCUUCUCCACCAACUACUGGUCCCUGGGCUCCAUCCAGCCGCCCAUCCUUUGGCCCACCAGCAGCGGGGUCAGCAUGUAUGCAGGUGCUGAAGGCUUGGCUCCUGGAUUUCUGUGUCCUGCUCCACCAGCUUCUGAGGUGACUGGUGGCCCAGAGUCCUGGUCACGAGGAUGGUCGUUGGUCUGGGAGACAUCCAGAGCGAGAAGGAGAAUGACCGCCUGGUCUCGUACCUGGAGAGGGUGAGGAGCCUGGAGACUGAGAACCAGAGGCUGGAGAGCAAAAUUCUGGAAUAUCUGGAGAAGAAGGGACCUCAGGUCAGGGACUGGGGGCAUUUCUUCAAGACCAUUGAGGACCUGAGGGCUCAGAUCUUUGCAACUUCUGUGGACAAUGCCCCCAAUCGUUCUGCAGAUGGACAACGCCUUUCUUGCUGCUGAUGACUUUAGAGUCAAGUGUGAGUCAGAGCUGGCCAUGUGCCAGUCUGUAGAGAGCGACAUCCAUGGGCUCCGCCAGGUCAUCGAUGACACCAACGUCACCUGGCUGCAGCUGGAGACAGAAAUCGAGGCCCUCAAGGAAGAGCUGCUCUUCAUGAAGAAGAACCACAAGGAGGAAGUAAAAGACCUACAAGCCCAGAUUGCUAGUGCUGGGUUGACCGUGGAGGUAGAUGCCUCCAAAGCUCAGGACCUCAGCAAGAUCAUGGUGGACAUCCAGGCCCAGUAUGACAAGCUGACUCAGGAAAACCGAGAGGAACUGGACAAGUACAAGUCCCAGCAGAUGGAGGAGAGUACCACAGCAGUCACCACGCAGUCCGUCGAGACGGUAGCUGCCGAGAUGACACCGGUGGAGCUGAGGUGUAUGGCACAGUCCUUGGAGAUCAACCUGGACUCAAUGAGAAAUCUGAAGGCCAGCUUGGAGAACAGUCUGAGGGGAGUGGAGGCCCACUACGCCAUUCAGAUGGAGCAGCUCAAUGGCACCCUCACUGCUGUACCUGGAGUCGGAGCUGGCACAGACCCUGGCAGAAGGCCGGCGACAGGCCCAGGAGUACAAGGCCUUGCUGAACAUCAAGGUCAGGCUGGAGGCUGAGAUCGCCACCUACCGCCGCCUGCUGGAGAACGGGGAGGACUUCAGUCUCGGGGAUGCCCUGGACAGCAGCAUCUCCUUUCAGACCAUCCAAAAGACCACCACCCGCAGGAUAGUGGAUGGCAAAGUGGUGUCUGAGACCAUUGACGCCGAAGUUCAGAGGUGCUGAGGCAGCAGGAGCACGAUACUCUGCGAGGAAGAAGGAGGCCAAUAAGAAGU
Molecule: RNA transcript, 1356 nt
Organism: Carlito syrichta (Philippine tarsier)
Lineage: Eukaryota; Metazoa; Chordata; Mammalia; Primates; Tarsiidae
Gene name: keratin, type I cytoskeletal 18 pseudogene
Exons: 1
Source: RefSeq, a predicted model, not a curated record